This 484-nucleotide ribosomal RNA is filed under the name uncultured bacterium. RNAcentral describes it as "bacterial SSU rRNA". It matches the Rfam family "Bacterial small subunit ribosomal RNA", at positions 28 to 496 of the family's 1533-position model. The record is from RNAcentral.
GAUGAACGCUAGCGGCAGGCUUAAUACAUGCAAGUCGAGGGGCAUCAAGGUACACGAAAGUGUAUUGUUGGCGACCGGCGGACGGGUGAGUAAUAGGUAGGUAACCUACCUCAUACUGAGGCAUAGCUGGGAGAAAUUCCAGGUAAUUCCUCAUGAGGUUAUAUGACACAUGUGAUAUAAUCAAAGGUAUCGCAAGGUACUGGUAUGAGAUGGGCCUACUGACCAUUAGCUAGUUGGUGAGAUAAGAGCUCACCAAGGCGAAGAUGGUUAGGGGUUUGAGAGAGAGAUCCCCCACAUUGGAACUGAGAUACGGUCCAGACUCCUACGGGAGGCAGCAGUAGGGAAUAUUGGGCAAUGGGCGGAAGCCUGACCCAGCCAUGCCGCGUGAAGGAAGACGGCCUUAUGGGUUGUAAACUUCUUUACUAUGCGACUAACUAGAUUUACGAGAUAAUUCUAUAGAAUGUAGCAUAGCAAAAAGCAACCC